Molecule: ribosomal RNA, 424 nt
Filed under: Verrucomicrobiota bacterium
Lineage: Bacteria; Pseudomonadati; Verrucomicrobiota
Description: Verrucomicrobia bacterium partial 16S ribosomal RNA
Rfam family: Bacterial small subunit ribosomal RNA
Source: RNAcentral
UGAGGAAUAUUGGUCAAUGGGCGAGAGCCUGAACCAGCCAAGUAGCGUGCAGGAUGACGGCCCUAUGGGUUGUAAACUGCUUUUAUGUGGGGAUAAAGUGCGUGACGUGUCAUGCAUUGCAGGUACCACAUGAAUAAGGACCGGCUAAUUCCGUGCCAGCAGCCGCGGUAAUACGGAAGGUCCGGGCGUUAUCCGGAUUUAUUGGGUUUAAAGGGAGCGUAGGCUGUCUAUUAAGCGUGUUGUGAAAUUUACCGGCUCAACCGGUGGCUUGCAGCGCGAACUGGUCGACUUGAGUAUGCAGGAAGUAGGCGGAAUUCAUGGUGUAGCGAUGAAAUGCUUAGAUAUCAUGAAGAACUCCGAUUGCGAAGGCAGCUUACGGGAGCGCAACUGACGCUGAAGCUCGAAGGUGCGGGUAUCGAACAGG